This is a long non-coding RNA of Ornithodoros turicata, 1593 nucleotides long. RefSeq lists it as uncharacterized. The record is from RefSeq and is a predicted model, not a curated record. Lineage: Eukaryota; Metazoa; Arthropoda; Arachnida; Ixodida; Argasidae. The transcript has 4 exons.
GCCACCAACAUUCCCAUAUUCUUUUCCACAAGAGAGCCAAAACAGCCCCAAUGCUUCGUACAGUGGACAUAGCGAAGUUGAAAAGGAUGAUUCAUUGGAGCUGCAUCCCAGUAGGGUAUAUUGAAGGACCAUCUCAUAUGCCUAGCGUAACAGCAGCAUCAAGCUUCAGAGCACCUGAACUGUCUCACAUGCUCUACCAGGAACAUUCUGGUUUGUACUGAUAUGCGAUUUGUUGCAAUAGGAAAGACUGCUCUGGUCUAUUUCUUUGCACGCACUCUGUUUUCUCUUUCACUCUAUUACGAGCAUGUGAUAUUUCUGAUUUCUGACAUCGUUGCAUAUUCACCUGUACAUUUAGUUAUUUCUAUACUUGAAUUGCAGCGAGCAGUAUUUGCCCCACCUCUGCUUCUGCCCCUUCCUAGGCUGUCCAAACCAGAAGUGUACCUGAACUGCCCCACACACUGUACCAGGAACAUUCCGCCAGCGGUAUUCGCCACAUAUUCGUUGCUGCCCUUCCCUCAGCUGUCCAUACCAGAAGUGCCCCUGAACUGCCCCACAUGCCGCUCCAGGCUGCUUGGUAGGAAAUGCCAGCGAUCCUGGUGAGAAUACCCUAAAGGAAGUGGAGAGUGCAGCCAUGUCGUGGCUACGCCACGCACCUCAAGCAGAUGAGAGGCAGCAGCAAAAGCUGGUGUGUGAAGACUGUGACAGACUGUGCACUGUGUGGCUUAUUGGAGUACAAACUUUACCUCAUUGUUUUUUGUGCAGUAUGUUAUAUGCUGCUGAUGUGCUGCUUUGUUGCAGCUCCUACCUGUCUUUCACUGUCAGACAUAACUAUUUGCAUGUUUUCGAAUUUUUAGUCACCUUUCAGUCUUAUAUGUUUCUGAUCUGCUCAGCGCAGUGCAGUGUAGGGGUGCCUACAUAACUAUUUGCGUUUCUUCGCACCACACUACAGUGCCUUUUUUAGUCAGUUUUCACUAGUCUUGUUCGUUGCUGAUCUGCUCAGCGCAGUGCAGUGUAGAGGUGCCUACAUAACUAUUUCUGUGUUUUUGCAGCCCCGUACAGUGCCUUGUUUAGUCGUUUUCCACUAGUCUUAUUUGUUGCUGAUGUGCUCAGCACAGUGCAGUGCAGUGUAGGGGUCCCUACAUAACUAUUUGCGUGUUUUCGCAGUACAGUACUUUGCCUUACUACAGAAGAACAAAACACUACGCGCAGUUAUUACUACUACAUCCCAUUUGAAAUUUUGUGUCACCUUUUCCUUGCUGCAAUUAAGUUGCAUUAUCAGCGUUCGACGCUGUGGUGUGAUGCAGAAAGGAUUUUGUAAAUGUUGCAUAUUAUAAUGCCUAUACUUGCUCCUAAUGUGCCUAAACUUCUCCUAUCUCACCAUUUCAUCCUAUUUGCCUCUUUGAAUUCCUUUAGAAGCAGCAGCUGUAACCCCUCAUUUUUAGUGGGAUUUGUGUUUUUUAAGGAAAGAGCUAUAACCCUGUACAAGUGUUUGCUCGAACUGUGAUAUUUUAUUAGCCUCAAACUAUUGAUGAUCAACAUACUGGUUGGUAACACGUGCUAAUCAAAAGGAACAAUAAAAUGUUGUCAUGUUUA